This 1415-nucleotide long non-coding RNA is filed under the name Heterocephalus glaber (naked mole-rat). Its description in RNAcentral is "lncRNA (ENSHGLG00000031161.2)". The record is from RNAcentral. Lineage: Eukaryota; Metazoa; Chordata; Mammalia; Rodentia; Bathyergidae.
GCGGGUCCCUCCUCUGCCCUCCCUGAUUGCAUCAUUAGUGCUAAUUGAGGGGCUUUCACACGUCAGUGCUUUAGCUGUUUGGAGUGAGCUCCCCCCCUCCUGGGAGAGAUAAGUCGCUGCCCCUCCCCCCUCACCGGUCUCCGCUUCCCCACCGCCCCGACUCCGUUCCCUUACCGCUCUGGCACCCUCCUUUCUCCCGCUUCCCAGGGUCUCUACUGGGAAGGAACGGGGAUUCUGGAAAGAGCAGUUGCCAUUCCGAGACAGGCUCUGUCCCCCUUCCAACCAUUUCUCUGUAAAUAUUGGCACCUUCUCGGCCAAACAUCUCAAUGCACCGGGAAGCCACUGUGGAGGGACUCCUUGAGGAGCUUUCUUUAGGGCCUGCCCUGCUUUUCUGUCUUGGAGAAGUCUCUGUGGGCAGGGCUUGGCAUUGUGAGUCUCAGCUCAGAGCUGGUGAAUAGAACGAGCAGAAUCAUUUCAAAGAAUUGGAAGGCAUGAAAUGCUGUGCUAUGCCACUGCAGACUCCCAUUGUACAUCUGUCCAUCCACCCAAAGGCCAGGCAGGGUCUACAACUAAGACCUUGCAGGCCAGAGUCUGCUCCAAAUCGGUGGUGCUAUCUUCCGUGGUGCUAACACCUUCAGUCCAGGCCUCUUCUCCAAGGCUCCCAGCAGCCCUCAGACCAGUGUCUUGAGCUUGUACAAUAAGACUCAGUGCUUUGGACCCAGGAUGUUUCUUCCUCUCACCAUCUUUCCAGUGUCAUCCACCCCAUCCAAAACACUGACUUGGAUACCAAGGCCUGGGAAAGAGGCAGAUGGCCCAGACUCCAAAAUGCCUCUUUUCUUUGGAAGUAUCUCCUAGGUACCUUCUUGUCACAUGUGGUCAAGUUGUCCCAGCGCCUGGAUUAUAAUACAGUACAGUGUCAACCUUCUGGCAGUCUUCUGUAUUGAAACCCUUUUUCUUCUAGCCUGGGUCUCUUUUGGAGUAUUACUUUCCUGCUCAAAAACCUGGAGGAUAAACUGAACGGGCCCUCAGGCCUCUGAGCUGACCCUAGCCCUCUACCCAGCCCUUUACUCCCUUUAUUAUUCCCCCGGAGAAAGUCAAACUCCCUGGCCUGGCACCUCUCCUACUCCUGACGGCUGCCUUUAUUUACCCUUUGCCAUCAAUGCUGUCUCUUCCAGUUUCUCCUUCUUGAAAUGCCCUCUUCCAGCCUUUACGCUCCAUCUUCAAGGUCUCCUGGAAAGUAGUGAGAGAUGAUGCUUCUCUAACUGGGGUACCCAGGUCUGGGGUCUAGAGGGUGUAUUCUUGGCAUUAGGAAAUGUACAGAAUACAUUUGUCAGGUCUUAGAAAACUUGUGUAAAGAGCUUGGUACUUGGAAUCAGAGAUUCAGUCUCAGUUGGAUUCCCUUGGGCGAGUCAGUC